CCUACGGGAGGCAGCAGUGGGGGAUAUUGCACAAUGGGGGAAACCCUGAUGCAGCGACGCCGCGUGGGUGAAGAAGCGCCUCGGCGCGUAAAGCCCUGUCAGCAGGGAAGAAAAUGACGGUACCUGAAGAAGAAGCCCCGGCUAACUACGUGCCAGCAGCCGCGGUAAUACGUAGGGGGCAAGCGUUAUCCGGAUUUACUGGGUGUAAAGGGGGCGCAGACGGCGAUGCAAGCCAGGAGUGAACGCCCGGGGCCCAACCCCGGGACUGCUCUUGGAACUGCGUGGCUAGAGUGCAGGAGGGGCAAGCUGAAUUCCUGGUGUAGCGGUGAAAUGCGUAGAUAUCAGGAGGAACACCGGUGGCGAAGGCGGCCUGCUGGACUGCAACUGACGUUGAGGCCCGAAAGCGUGGGGAGCAAACAGGAUUAGAUACCCGGGUAGUC
This 440-nucleotide ribosomal RNA is filed under the name uncultured bacterium. RNAcentral describes it as "partial 16S ribosomal RNA". It matches the Rfam family "Bacterial small subunit ribosomal RNA", at positions 338 to 795 of the family's 1533-position model. The record is from RNAcentral.